GACGAACGCUGGCGGCGUGCUUAACACAUGCAAGUCGAACGGAAAGGCCCUGCUUUUGUGGGGUGCUCGAGUGGCGAACGGGUGAGUAACACGUGAGUAACCUGCCCUUGACUUUGGGAUAACUUCAGGAAACUGGGGCUAAUACCGGAUAGGAGCUCCUGCUGCAUGGUGGGGGUUGGAAAGUUUCGGCGGUUGGGGAUGGACUCGCGGCUUAUCAGCUUGUUGGUGGGGUAUUGGCUUACCAAGGCUUUGACGGGUAGCCGGCCUGAGAGGGGGACCGGCCACAUGGGGCCUACGCUACGGCCCAGACUCCUACGGUAGGCAGCAGGGGGGAAUAUGGCACAAUGGGCGCAAGCCUGUUCCGGCAACGCCCCGUGCGGAAUGACGGCCUUCGGGUUGUAAACCGCUUUCGCCUGUGACGAAGCGUGAGUGACGGUAAUGGGUAAAGAAGCACCGGCUAACUACGUG
RNAcentral lists this ribosomal RNA (468 nucleotides) under uncultured bacterium. RNAcentral describes it as "partial 16S ribosomal RNA". It matches the Rfam family "Bacterial small subunit ribosomal RNA", at positions 28 to 507 of the family's 1533-position model. The record is from RNAcentral.